This is a long non-coding RNA of Zophobas morio, 746 nucleotides long. RefSeq lists it as uncharacterized. The transcript is spliced from 3 exons. The record is from RefSeq and is a predicted model, not a curated record. NCBI's taxonomy places the organism in Eukaryota, Metazoa, Arthropoda, Insecta, Coleoptera, Tenebrionidae.
AAAAAAUACUCCUAACGUAUAUCAAUAUACCUUAAGUUACGCCACUGCUUUUUCACCUAUUUGACACAUGACAUAUGCGUGACAUAUGGUUGGUAGAAACGCGAGAUGACGCUAUGCUGUACCACAGAUUGUUUUAUAAACACGUGAUAAAGUUUAACAAUCUACCACAUUUUUAUAUGUUGUAAUCGUUUGAAAAUUUGUUUUUGGAAUUACGAAAUUAUGGUAUCAAACUUUGCAGUUUCUUACCGAUUUUUGAAUUACUUUGUAGCCCUGAAGGUCCAGCGCAAGCAUUAUAAUACCUCCAAAAUUCAGUUGUCGGGCUUGAAUGCCACUAUUCCAUAUAUUUCUACGCUCCGGUGUAGUAGUUGAACCUAUAAAAUGGAAAACAAUUCAUGUUAUAGUAAAACACUUGUAAUAUUUACAUACUUUGAGAAUGUGGGGUUCGUCAAAUACGUGGUGAUAAAUUCGCCAUGGAGUGGAAAUCAGGGCAUUCUUUCCUUGGGGUCAGGAAGAUGAGAUCAGUUGUCUGGGGCACCACAGUGGACGCAUCAAUUUUACUUGCCUCCAGUGGUGAUUGACUUUCAAUUUGUUUUUACCUCGAGGAGGCAAAAUCGUUGGUACCGCAGAUUGAUGCAGCCUUUGUGUACCUUGCACAUAGUCUUCAGCCCGAAAAUGUUGGUAGCAAAUGUACCCUCUCCGAUAAAUUUGGUUAUUUGUUAAACCCUCGAAUUUUGGGUUAUUGGAGG